RNAcentral lists this long non-coding RNA (203 nucleotides) under Panax ginseng (ginseng). Its description in RNAcentral is "long non-coding RNA (PGIN_LNC002860)". Lineage: Eukaryota; Viridiplantae; Streptophyta; Magnoliopsida; Apiales; Araliaceae. The record is from RNAcentral.
UGGAAAUAGCAAAAGAUGAAGAAUUAAUUAGAUCAAAAGAUUACUUCUAAGAAUGCAAUUCAUCAAAGUCCUACAGUAUGAUAUUAAACCAUGCCUUCUAAUUGCAGACCAGCAGAGGAACACCACAUAGAGCUCCAUAAAUCCAGGAGUCAAGAAACCAGCAUUUACCUGUUUCAGCCAAAACAUAAUCAAGUACCAAGAAG